Molecule: ribosomal RNA, 251 nt
Filed under: uncultured Corynebacterium sp.
Lineage: Bacteria; Bacillati; Actinomycetota; Actinomycetes; Mycobacteriales; Corynebacteriaceae
Description: partial 16S ribosomal RNA
Rfam family: Bacterial small subunit ribosomal RNA
Source: RNAcentral
GGGGUACUCGAGUGGCGAACGGGUGAGUAACACGUGGGUGAUCUGCCUUGCACUUCGGGAUAAGCCUGGGAAACUGGGUCUAAUACCGGAUAGGACCAUGCUUUAGUGUGUGUGGUGGAAAGUUUUUCGGUGCAAGAUGAGCCCGCGGCCUAUCAGCUUGUUGGUGGGGUAAUGGCCUACCAAGGCGACGACGGGUAGCCGGCCUGAGAGGGUGUACGGCCACAUUGGGACUGAGACACGGCCCAGACUCC